AGUCUUGUAUUCAUUACAUGAUAUUAGAAUGCAAUUCUAAUGGUAUAUAUUUUAUUAAGGCUU
RNAcentral lists this transfer RNA (63 nucleotides) under Paratoxodera polyacantha. RNAcentral describes it as "tRNA-Cys". The record is from RNAcentral. Lineage: Eukaryota; Metazoa; Arthropoda; Insecta; Mantodea; Toxoderidae.